Molecule: ribosomal RNA, 253 nt
Filed under: uncultured bacterium
Lineage: Bacteria
Description: partial 16S ribosomal RNA
Rfam family: Bacterial small subunit ribosomal RNA
Source: RNAcentral
UACGGAGGGCGCGAGCGUUAAUCGGAAUUACUGGGCGUAAAGCGCGCGUAGGCUGUUGUGUAAGUUGGGGGUGAAAUCCCACGGCUCAACCGUGGAACAGCCCUUGAUACUGCGCGACUUGAAUCCGGGAGAGGGUGGCGGAAUUCCAGGUGUAGGAGUGAAAUCCGUAGAUAUCUGGAGGAGCAUCAGUGGCGAAGGCGGCCACCUGGACCGGUAUUGACGCUGAGGCGCGAAAGCGUGGGGAGCAAACAGG